UGGGGAAUAUUGCACAAUGGGCGCAAGCCUGAUGCAGCCAUGCCGCGUGUGUGAAGAAGGCCUUCGGGUUGUAAAGCACUUUCAGCGGGGAGGAAGGCGGUGAGGUUAAUAACCUCAUCGAUUGACGUUACCCGCAGAAGAAGCACCGGCUAACUCCGUGCCAGCAGCCGCGGUAAUACGGAGGGUGCAAGCGUUAAUCGGAAUUACUGGGCGUAAAGCGCACGCAGGCGGUCUGUCAAGUCGGAUGUGAAAUCCCCGGGCUCAACCUGGGAACUGCAUUCGAAACUGGCAGGCUAGAGUCUUGUAGAGGGGGGUAGAAGUCCAGGUGUAGCGGUGAAAUGCGUAGAGGUCUGGAGGAAUACCGGUGGCGAAGGCGGCCCCCUGGACAAAGACUGACGCUCAGGUGCGAAAGCGUGGGGAGCAAACAGG
This 429-nucleotide ribosomal RNA is filed under the name Chloroflexota bacterium. RNAcentral's name for it is "Chloroflexi bacterium partial 16S ribosomal RNA". It matches the Rfam family "Bacterial small subunit ribosomal RNA", at positions 355 to 776 of the family's 1533-position model. Lineage: Bacteria; Bacillati; Chloroflexota. The record is from RNAcentral.